Molecule: long non-coding RNA, 4113 nt
Filed under: Prunus persica (peach)
Lineage: Eukaryota; Viridiplantae; Streptophyta; Magnoliopsida; Rosales; Rosaceae
Description: long non-coding RNA (PPER_LNC008442)
Source: RNAcentral
UCGGUUUUGUAGGCCAGGAGGGUCUGGGCCCCAGCCAUCUUGGCGGCGGUGGGGUUGAUGGCCCACGCCACCCAGCCUUCAGAUUUGGACGGCGUCGCCACGAAGGCGAUGGAGAGAGAGGAAUUGGAGGCAUUGUAGGUCCAGUGGAGGUAGGAGCUGAGGAAGGGGAGGUCGCUGCAGUUGGGGUAGAGCUUGUUGUUCUUGAAUGUCUGUGAGCUGCAGGUGGCUGCCUGUGCUGGUGAUAUUACCAGAGCCAGGAGGGAGAUCCAUGAGACUGAGACAAGAAGAAGAAGAUGAAGAGAGGAAGCCAUUAUUGGAGAAUAUGGAGAGAGAGAUUGGCUGUGAAUUGAAAAAGGGAGAGAGAUGUUCUGCUGAAUGUAAAGGUUGUGGGAGAAUUUAUAUUGAAAAUAAAUUGUUAGAUGUAUUCGAUAUAUCACGUGAUAUGCUGAUAUUGCGGAUGUACAGGAUAAUUUCUCUACAUAUUGGUUUUGAUUGUAUGGUUUCGUUGUAAUCGGUUGCAUACAAUUAUUUUUUUAUACGUAAAUAAACCAAUAGUAGUUGUAUGCAACCCAUUUUUUCAUAUGCAACUGCUCAUUUUAUAUCACAGUCAAUCAGUACAGUUGUAUACAACGAGUGAUGAAAAAAAUGGAGAAAAAUAAGUCACACACACUAAAUGAGAAAUAAAAAAUUAAGAAAGUAUAAGUUAAGGAACUAUUUCGAUAAAAAAAAUUCUUAUAUUGUAUUAUUUGUUUAAAGUCAAUGAAAAAAAAACAACAACGUGUUCAUAAGAUUAGGAUUACUCAUACAUACGACCUUAUUCAAUCAUGUGCAAUGUUCUAAAACGAAAAGUAUAUUAUUUUUGUAGUACAAAUAUAUGCGUACGUAAAUCGAACACCUACAGCUACAAAAACAAAACCAGUAGAAGAAGACGAACCUUGAUGCCCUUGAGGUUGUUCUUGUUCCAUUACGUAGGGUUCAUAAUAAAAGAUUAGUUCUUUCUUUUCCGGUAGAUAGGGUACAACUCUGCCUCGUGCAAAUUGCAAAUGAAUUAUAUAUUUUUGAUGAUGACAUUGACAGCCCAGAAGGAACAAAGAAAACACAGAAAAAAUUUGGCUCGUUAAAAUUGAGGAGGAGAUCCUCUUACAACUAAUGUGAUUUUGACGAGUGUUAAAUUAUUUUAAUAUUCUUUUUUUUUUUUGUUGAAAUUUUGUCAAUGUUGCCAAAUUUUGACAAAUGUCAAAACUCCAUUAGUUUUAAAAAGAAACUCCUCCUCAAUUUUAAAGAGUAAUGUCUUGCUCCACAAAAAUUUGUGUUUGAAACUGUCCUUCUACCUGCCCUUGUGGUUAAGUGCGCAUGCACUAAUUCCUAGUAGUCUUGGGUUCGAAGGUUGGUACCACAUUCUCUACAAUAUUAGGGGUCGUUUGGCAUAGCGGACUGUCAUGGACUGGACUAAAUCAUGUGACUGUCUCAUAUUAGCUUGGAUUGGCCUAAGCUGGAUUAAGUACUGACCUACAUUUAGUGCUGCGUCGGACUAAGAAGCUAGAUUGUAAAAAUAGUGAAGACCUUGGCGAUGUGUCGGACUAAAAAAUAAUUCUUAUAAUAUUUAAAUUUAAUUGGGGGUUUUGACCUAAAAGAUAAAUAAAUGCUAUAAAGAAACCCAAUUCAAAGAUUUAUAACAAUAUCUGGUAAAAAAAAGAAGAAAGAAUUAAAACAAUAAUAAAAAGAAAACAAAUAAUUUUUUUUUUUAUGAAGAAUAAAAUUAUGAUAUUUAUUUUUUGACUUCUCAAGAUUAAUCUUAAGUUUUUCGGGGACCAAGUAAAAUAAUAAUUAAUUUUAUAUAUUUAUGUAUAUGUAUAAUUUUUGUAUAUUUGACUUUUGACUUUAAACUGAAAAAUAUAAUUUAACAAGGUAAAAAUUGCUUGUGAUAAAGAAAGCAUCACAUCAUGAAUUAUUAAACUUGUUUGAAUAUUAAAAAAAAUCAAACAUUUGUAAAUUACUAUAGUUCGAUUUUCCAAAUGCAAUUUUAAAAUAAUUAUUGUAAUAUUUAAAUUUAAUUAAGGAUUUUAAUCUUUAAAAAAAAUAAAUGCUGCAAAAAAAAAAACCAUUCAAAGAUCUAAAACAAUAAUUAAAAGAAAACAAAUAAAAUUAUGAUAUUUUUUAAAGAGAGGCGUCAGACUCAUGUGUUUUAUUUAGCGAACCACUUUUCAGGCUCACUAUAUUAGAUGAGAGAGUAAGACUUGUUUUUCAAUAUUGGCCUAUACAGUCUCAUUUAAGUUAGUCAUGUCUCUUACUAAACAAGGAUUUCGAGUGCUAUUUAACCCAAUCCAAUGCAAUGAGGCAUACCAAACAUGAUCUUGGUGUUUAAAACCAAACCCGUAAAAAACGCGAAAAAAAAUUUGUCGUUUUUGUGCUUUCCAAUUAUUUAUGCAAGAAGCCUUCUUUUAACUAUAAGAUAAAUGAGGUGGGGUACGUGGAGGACACAAAAGCGAAGGCGGUGGGACUAGUGGAAGACUCCGGACCCAAAACCCCUGCUUAAUUAAUUGACAAGUAUUAAUAAAUUAUUUUGUUAGCAUGAGUCGUCCACACGUUUAUAGUCGGCUAGAAUUUAACUAUUGAUACUAAGCAUCCACACUUCUCAAAGGUAAAAAAUCCCAAAGUCUGUAUCGUUCAUGCAUAGUGUUAAUUUGACUGUCAUGUGAAUAUUAUGCGAAUGGAAAGAUCACUGGUUUUUGAAAUACCAUAAAGAUCGAAAUAUUUACAUGGCAAUCAUUUCCCUUUAACGUUCCCUUUCUAAUCUAAUUGACCUUUUUGGUUUGUCAAUAAUCACUAUCUUUAUUUUUAUUUUAUUUUUAAAAAUCAAGGUACAAUGAGGCCCCAAAAUUACUCAAGUAACAAUGUUAAAAAAUGGACGGACGAAGGUUAGGUGAAUUGGUAAAGUAUUCUACCUGCGUCUAGCACUUGAGUUUAAUUCCCCUCUUGGUACAUUAUAAUAAUUUAAAAUUUUGCUUUAUAAUUAAAAACAAAAUGUCAAAUAUUAAAAGAAAGAAAAAAGAGACCAACGUGAAAAUAAAGGAAAAUAUUAAACUAAAUUAAAUGGUACAAGCAUUUCCUCUCAUCAAGAUCCACCCUAUUAAUUAAUGACCAACUAGAGCCAUCUCUUUUUCUCUCAUCGAUCCAAGAUGCAGAUGAGGAGGAGAGAUAAUUUAAAUCAAUGGGGAAAUCAUAAAUAUCAUGGAAUAUAUAAUAAAUAUUUCCACCUAAAAGUGUUGACAUCUCCAUCUCCCACUUGGACUCAUCAAUAAGAAAAAAAAUUUAUAAAUUAAAAAAAAAAACUAAAUUUAGAGAGCAAUGAGAGCUCCAAGAACCAAAAGCGAAACAGAGAACAAUCCCAUGUUUCCUCCACUCCCAAUCCUCAAGGCUCCGCUACCACCACCACCAGUGCUAUUGGUAGUGGUAUUAGUACCAGCGGGAGUGCCCGUAGUGGAAUUUGUGGUAGUAGUGGAAUUGGCCCCCAAGGACAAGGUGCCAAACGACUUGAGAUUGGGUGGGGCGACGUCAUGCUUCUCGGGGAAACCGGAGGUCUUGUUGACGGCGGAGCCCACCUGCCAGACCUGGUUCACUGAUGCCGCGUCCUUCGGGACCUUGACGGUGGCGAAGAUCGUGAAGGUGUCGUUGGAAAACUCCGCGCUGACGUCCCAGACUUCGAACGAGAGUUUUCCCGGCACGAUGGAGCUGUACGAGGAGAUGUUCAAUGUGUUGACGGCUGGUGCCCCGUUCUCGGUCUUGUAGGCUAAGAGGGUCUGGGCCCCAGCCAUCUUGGUCUCGGUGGGGUUGAUGGCCCACGCGACCCAGCCGUCAGAUUUGGCCGGCUUCGCCACGAAGGCGACGGAGAGAGAGGAGUUGGAGGCAUUGUAGGUCCAGUGGAGGUAGGAGCUGAGGAAGGGGAGGUCGCUGCAGUGGGCGUAGAGCUUGUUUUUCUUGAAUGUCUGUGAGGUGCAGGUGGCUGCUUGCGCGGGUGAGAUUAGCAGAGCCAGGAGGGAGAUCCACGAGACUGAGACAAGAAGAACGGGAUGAAGAGAGGAAGCCAUUAUUGGAGAAUAUGGAGAGAGAGAG